AGGAACAUGUGGUUUAAUUCGAUGAUACGCGAGGAACCUUACCUGGGCUUAAAUGUAGAGUGCAUUUUUUAGAGAUAGAAAUUCCCUUCGGGGCUUUCUGCAAGGUGCUGCAUGGUUGUCGUCAGCUCGUGCCGUGAGGUGUCGGGUUAAGUCCCAUAACGAGCGCAACCCUUAUCGUUAGUUGCCAGCUGGUAAAGCAGGGGACUCUAGCGAAACUGCCACCGUAAGGUGAGAGGAAGGUGGGGAUGACGUCAAAUCAGCACGGCCCUUAUGUCCAGGGCUACACACGUGUUACAAUGGCCGGCACAGAAGGCAGCUACCUGGUGACAGGAUGCUAAUCUCGAAAACCGGUCUCAGUUCGGAUCGAAGUCUGCAACUCGACUUCGUGAAGCUGGAUUCGCUAGUAAUCGCGCAUCAGCCAUGGCGCGGUGAAUACGUUCCCGGGCCUU
This 449-nucleotide ribosomal RNA is filed under the name uncultured Sphingobacteriales bacterium. RNAcentral's name for it is "bacterial SSU rRNA". It matches the Rfam family "Bacterial small subunit ribosomal RNA", at positions 933 to 1382 of the family's 1533-position model. The record is from RNAcentral. Lineage: Bacteria; Pseudomonadati; Bacteroidota; Sphingobacteriia; Sphingobacteriales.